RNAcentral lists this ribosomal RNA (322 nucleotides) under uncultured eukaryote. RNAcentral describes it as "partial 18S ribosomal RNA". It matches the Rfam family "Eukaryotic small subunit ribosomal RNA", at positions 1470 to 1796 of the family's 1831-position model. The record is from RNAcentral.
CCCAUAGAUGUUCUGGGCCGCACGCGUGCUACACUGAGUGGAUCAGCGGGUCAGGUUGCGCGAAAGUGUUUCCUAAUCUUGAAAUCCGCUCGUGAUGGGGAUUGACGGUUGCAAUUUUCCGUCAUGAACGAGGAAUACCUUGUAAGCGCGGGUCAUCAUCCCGCGCUGAAUACGUCCCUGCCCUUUGUACACACCGCCCGUCGCUCCUACCGAUUGAGUGGUCCGGUGAGGCUUUGGGAUCUGAGCAAAGAGAGCGUUUCGCUCGUUUUGCCCGGAAAACUCAGUCGAACCUUAUCAUUUAGAGGAAGGAGAAGUCGUAACA